RNAcentral lists this ribosomal RNA (465 nucleotides) under uncultured bacterium. RNAcentral's name for it is "partial 16S ribosomal RNA". It matches the Rfam family "Bacterial small subunit ribosomal RNA", at positions 338 to 795 of the family's 1533-position model. The record is from RNAcentral.
CCUACGUGGGACAGCAGUGGGGAAUCUUGCGCAAUGGGCGAAAGCCUGACGCAGCGACGCCGCGUGAGGGAUGACGGUCUUCUGAUCGUAAACCUCUGUCAGCAGGGAAGAACGGUCCCUGUGCUAAUCAGCAGUGAAUUGCCGGUACCUGCAAAGGAAGCACCGGCUAACCCCGUGCCAGCAGCCGCGGUAAUACUGAGGGUGAUAGCGUUAAUCGGAAUUACUGGGCGGAAAGCGCUCGUAGGCGGGAUGUCAAGUCAAGGGUGAAAUCACCGCGCUAAAAGUGGGAACUGCCGUUGAAACGGGCAAAGUGGAUGGGGUGAGAGGAUAGUGGAAUGCGAGGGGUAGGAGUGAAAUCCGUAGAGAUCUGGAGGAACAUCAGUGGCGAAGGCGACUAUCUGGCACAUAACUGACGCUGAGGAGCGAAAGCGUGGGUAGCAAACAGGAUUAGAUACCCGGGUAGUC